This 1389-nucleotide ribosomal RNA is filed under the name Microbacterium arborescens. Its description in RNAcentral is "bacterial SSU rRNA". It matches the Rfam family "Bacterial small subunit ribosomal RNA". The record is from RNAcentral. Lineage: Bacteria; Bacillati; Actinomycetota; Actinomycetes; Micrococcales; Microbacteriaceae.
UGCAGUCGAACGGUGAAGCAGAGCUUGCUCUGUGGAUCAGUGGCGAACGGGUGAGUAACACGUGAGCAAUCUGCCCCUGACUCUGGGAUAAGCGCUGGAAACGGCGUCUAAUACCGGAUACGAGCUGCGACCGCAUGGUCAGUAGCUGGAAAGAAUUUCGGUCAGGGAUGAGCUCGCGGCCUAUCAGCUUGUUGGUGAGGUAAUGGCUCACCAAGGCGUCGACGGGUAGCCGGCCUGAGAGGGUGACCGGCCACACUGGGACUGAGACACGGCCCAGACUCCUACGGGAGGCAGCAGUGGGGAAUAUUGCACAAUGGGCGCAAGCCUGAUGCAGCAACGCCGCGUGAGGGAUGACGGCCUUCGGGUUGUAAACCUCUUUUAGCAGGGAAGAAGCGAAAGUGACGGUACCUGCAGAAAAAGCGCCGGCUAACUACGUGCCAGCAGCCGCGGUAAUACGUAGGGCGCAAGCGUUAUCCGGGAAUUAUUGGGCGUAAAGAGCUCGUAGGCGGUCUGUCGCGUCUGCUGUGAAAACCCGAGGCUCAACCUCGGGCCUGCAGUGGGUACGGGCAGACUAGAGUGCGGUAGGGGAGAUUGGAAUUCCUGGUGUAGCGGUGGAAUGCGCAGAUAUCAGGAGGAACACCGAUGGCGAAGGCAGAUCUCUGGGCCGUAACUGACGCUGAGGAGCGAAAGGGUGGGGAGCAAACAGGCUUAGAUACCCUGGUAGUCCACCCCGUAAACGUUGGGAACUAGUUGUGGGGUCCAUUCCACGGAUUCCGUGACGCAGCUAACGCAUUAAGUUCCCCGCCUGGGGAGUACGGCCGCAAGGCUAAAACUCAAAGGAAUUGACGGGGACCCGCACAAGCGGCGGAGCAUGCGGAUUAAUUCGAUGCAACGCGAAGAACCUUACCAAGGCUUGACAUAUAGAGGAAACGUCUGGAAACAGUCGCCCCGCAAGGUCUCUAUACAGGUGGUGCAUGGUUGUCGUCAGCUCGUGUCGUGAGAUGUUGGGUUAAGUCCCGCAACGAGCGCAACCCUCGUUCUAUGUUGCCAGCACGUAAUGGUGGGAACUCAUGGGAUACUGCCGGGGUCAACUCGGAGGAAGGUGGGGAUGACGUCAAAUCAUCAUGCCCCUUAUGUCUUGGGCUUCACGCAUGCUACAAUGGCCGGUACAAAGGGCUGCAAUACCGUGAGGUGGAGCGAAUCCCAAAAAGCCGGUCCCAGUUCGGAUUGAGGUCUGCAACUCGACCUCAUGAAGUCGGAGUCGCUAGUAAUCGCAGAUCAGCAACGCUGCGGUGAAUACGUUCCCGGGUCUUGUACACACCGCCCGUCAAGUCAUGAAAGUCGGUAACUUCUGAAGCCGGUGGCCCAACCCUUGUGGAGGGAGCCGUC